Molecule: non-coding RNA, 86 nt
Organism: Curtobacterium sp. MMLR14_010
Lineage: Bacteria; Bacillati; Actinomycetota; Actinomycetes; Micrococcales; Microbacteriaceae
Source: Rfam
UCGUCCUGUCGCGACUGGCGUCGGAUGGGUCACCAUCAGGGAGCGACACUCGACACGGUGCGUGGCCGUCCGCCUGGGCCACGCCG